AGAGUUUGAUCCUGGCUCAGAUUGAACGCUGGCGGCAUGCUUUACGCAUGCAAGUCGGACGGCAGCACAGAGAAGCUUGCUUCUUGGGUGGCGAGUGGCGAACGGGUGAGUAAUAUAUCGGAACGUACCGAGUAAUGGGGGAUAACUAAUCGAAAGAUUAGCUAAUACCGCAUAUUCUCUGAGGAGGAAAGCAGGGGACCUUCGGGCCUUGCGUUAUUCGAGCGGCCGAUAUCUGAUUAGCUAGUUGGUGGGGUAAAGGCCUACCAAGGCGACGAUCAGUAGCGGGUCUGAGAGGAUGAUCCGCCACACUGGGACUGAGACACGGCCCAGACUCCUACGGGAGGCAGCAGUGGGGAAUUUUGGACAAUGGGCGCAAGCCUGAUCCAGCCAUGCCGCGUGUCUGAAGAAGGCCUUCGGGUUGUAAAGGACUUUUGUCAGGGAAGAAAAGGCUGUUGCUAAUAUCGACAGCUGAUGACGGUACCUGAAGAAUAAGCACCGGCUAACUACGUGCCAGCAGCCGCGGUAAUACGUAGGGUGCGAGCGUUAAUCGGAAUUACUGGGCGUAAAGCGGGCGCAGACGGUUACUUAAGCAGGAUGUGAAAUCCCCGGGCUCAACCUGGGAACUGCGUUCUGAACUGGGUGACUAGAGUGUGUCAGAGGGAGGUAGAAUUCCACGUGUAGCAGUGAAAUGCGUAGAGAUGUGGAGGAAUACCGAUGGCGAAGGCAGCCUCCUGGGAUAACACUGACGUUCAUGCUCGAAAGCGUGGGUAGCAAACAGGAUUACAUACCCUGGUAGUCCACGCCCUAAA
This 809-nucleotide ribosomal RNA is filed under the name uncultured bacterium. RNAcentral describes it as "bacterial SSU rRNA". It matches the Rfam family "Bacterial small subunit ribosomal RNA", at positions 8 to 806 of the family's 1533-position model. The record is from RNAcentral.